This 551-nucleotide ribosomal RNA is filed under the name uncultured Glomeromycotina. RNAcentral's name for it is "SSU rRNA". It matches the Rfam family "Eukaryotic small subunit ribosomal RNA", at positions 548 to 1098 of the family's 1831-position model. The record is from RNAcentral. Lineage: Eukaryota; Fungi; Glomeromycota.
UUGGAGGGCAAGUCUGGUGCCAGCAGCCGCGGUAAUUCCAGCUCCAAUAGCGUAUAUUAAAGUUGUUGCAGUUAAAAAGCUCGUAGUUGAAUUUCGGGGUUCAUACGUUGGUCGGGCUUUUUGGUCUGUACUAGCGUAAUGGAUUCCUACCUUCUGAAUAACCGGCAUGCCAUUAAUUUGGUGCGCCGGGGAAGCAGGACUGUUACCUUGAAAAAAUUAGAGUGCUUAAAGCAGGCUAUCGCCUGAAUACAUUAGCAUGGAAUAAUGAAAUAGGACGGCAUGGUUCUAUUUUGUUGGUUUCUAGGAUCACCGUAAUGAUUAAUAGGGAUAGUUGGGGGCAUUAGUAUUCAAUUGUCAGAGGUGAAAUUCUUGGAUUUAUUGAAGACUAACUUCUGCGAAAGCAUUUGCCAAGGAUGUUUUCAUUAAUCAAGAACGAAAGUUAGGGGAUCGAAGACGAUCAGAUACCGUCGUAGUCUUAACCAUAAACUAUGCCGACUAGGGAUCGGACGAUGUUAAUUUUUUAAUGACUCGUUCGGCGCCUUACAGGAAAC